UACGAAGGGGACUAGCGUUGUCCGGAGUUAUUGGGCGUAAAGCGCGCGCAGGCGGCUUCGCGCGCCCGCCGUGAAAGCCCCCGGCUUAACCGGGGAGAGUCGGUGGGGACGGCGGAGCUUGAGGGCGGGAGAGGUCGGUGGAAUUCCCGGUGUAGUGGUGAAAUGCGUAGAGAUCGGGAGGAACACCUGUGGCGAAGGCGGCCGACUGGGCCGACCCUGACGCUGAGGCGCGAAGGCGUGGGGAGCGAACGGG
Molecule: ribosomal RNA, 253 nt
Filed under: uncultured bacterium
Lineage: Bacteria
Description: partial 16S ribosomal RNA
Rfam family: Bacterial small subunit ribosomal RNA
Source: RNAcentral